This is a non-coding RNA of Oncorhynchus mykiss (rainbow trout), 2953 nucleotides long. The record is from RefSeq and is a predicted model, not a curated record. Lineage: Eukaryota; Metazoa; Chordata; Actinopteri; Salmoniformes; Salmonidae.
GCCUCUCACAACCAUUCUUCACUCCACAAUUAGUUUUACGAGAUUUACGCAUCUCGAAUACACCAAGGAUGGUUGACUGGAAUGUGGACCGCCAAGGCUGGGAAAAAAAGAUCAGGACUACGAGCACGAGUCUGUGAAGACCCCCUGCAGUACCUGCAUACAUUGGCAAAAGGAUUGUCUACAACGGAAUGUACAGCACCAGUCAAGUUGUCUACGUACCCCUUGGGAGCCACGGACCCCUGAUUGAAUACCCUGUUCCAUAUAAAAGAUACAUGCGUACAACGAUGCGUACAAUGAUGUAUAGUAGCUAAGUACUGACAGAAACAUGGAGGAAGUCAUGAGCAGGCUGCAGACAUUGAGUGCAGAUCAACUACGGCAGGAGAUUAUCGGGGCAGGGCUGAAGUGUGGCCCCCUUACCCCCACUACAAGAGCCAUCUUUGAGAGGAAGCUGGCCAGAGCCCUCCUGGAGAAGCAAGGGGGGGAUGGAGGGGUGACUGAUAGAGGUAGCUCCUCCAAUACAGAGUCUAAUGGACCCACAACAAACAGAGUAGAAACUACCCCACAAUCUGGAACUCAAGUCAUCAGCAGAGGAGGGUAAAGAGAAAAAGGAAUUGGAUGAACCAGAAUAUCCCCUUGUUUACUAUGGUGUAUGUCCUCAUUGGGAGGAGUCAGUGGUAGCCGAUGGUAAGACCUCUUUUUGUACUAGACAAAGUUAAUGUAUAUGUGGACUGGAAGAAAGCUCUGAGAGCAAUGAUGACCAUGAAAGGGUCCAGGUUUAAGCCCUUUUCAACACGAGAGGAAGCUGAGAAAUUCUCAAAAUGCAUCAACAACAAUAGCCCUUCAGCCAGCGCUGAGGAACGCUGUGGAGAAGGGGGACAAGGAAGCCUUCAGCAGGCUGGUCUGGGCCAACCCACGCUACCUCAUCGGAUCUGGAGACAACCCCACCAUGAAGGGUGCCAAUACAGUGUCCUGCAUGUGGCGGCCAAAGAGAACCAGUCGGAGAUGGUCCAGCUCCUCCUGGACACUCUGGAGAGUCCAGACUUCAUGAGACCUAUGUAUCCUGAUGACCAGGAGGCCAUGUUACACCAACGCAUCUGCUACCUCGUUGACCUGUACCUCAACACACCUGACAAAGCAGUGAGAACCUCUAUGAACCGUAUUUGUGUUAUACACAGAGCAAUGAAACUCCUCUUCACUUUGCCUGUAAGUUUGGAUGUCCAGAUGUGGUCAAUGUGCUGUGUUGUCAUCCUGCUACUGACAAACAGUGGCAGAACAAGUACAACCAGAAGCCCUCUCAUGUGAUAUGCGAGAGGAAAAACAAAACCCCUGUCAUAGAAAAGAAAAUCAAGGAAUAUUUGAAGGGUGAGUUCCACAGACUAUGGAGAGCUCCACCCAGGGAUCGAGCAGUGUAUUUCCACUGUAUUCUCAAAUCUGACCCUGUGUGGGGAGGGAGAUUGCACAUGACAUGGCGCAUCCUUGGGCAGAGUACUGAGACUUCCUGGAUAGCUUCAUUGACCUGUCUACAGAGGAGGGACUGAGGAGGUUGGAGGAGUAUCUGGAUAGGAAGGACCAGACUGAGCGUCCCCUAGAAGAAUAUGGGAAGACAUAGCAGACUGGUGCUGGAUUAAAAACAUCAACCUCCUCCAAAGAGGAGCAGAGCCAUGUCCUGAUCAACAACACCCUGAAUGACAGAACGUCUCCAUCAAAGGAGAAACGUUCCCAGUCUCCUGUGUGUAAACUCCUGCCAGAGUUUGAGAAAUCCAGCCUAAAGGAUGGCUCUGUCCAAGUGGAGGACCAGGAGGAGGUAAAGAGUGUUGAGGGCCGUCUGGCUCCCUCUGUACCCAGGAAAGAGGGCCUGGACCUGGGGGAUGACAGUUUCUGGAGGACCUGGGAGGGGAGUCAGGUGAAGAGGCAGGUGGAGUAGCUCUCCAACCCCAGCUCAGAGGAUUAUCUGACAGCAGACGAGGGCUCAGACUCUGAGUGCCCAGAUAGUCCCCGAGACAGGAGAAGAGAAAGUAGAGGCUCAGGAUCCUCUAGCGCAUCUUACAAAUCCAUGAAGGGAGACGCUUCGAAAGAAACAAUUCUGACAACCGACACCCCUACAAAACGAAGACAGGAACUGUUCAUGGACGGAAUUUUUCUUGCAGGGAAUCUCCCACCAAGUUAGACAGUGAGGUCCUGUCUGCAAUGAAUAACAUGGAGAUUGACCCUGAGAGAAACCCCUGCAUUACUAAGUGGAGGAACACCAUUAUGGCCUAUCCCUCUUCACAGUGGCUAAGCAGGCUCAGCUUCUGCAGCCCAGGCCCGCACACUCCUGCUCAGAGCUGUUGCACCCAGACCAUCCUCUGCAGGACCCUCUUCCACUCCCCAAACUGGCACAGGGAAACCACAAGAAAACAGGAUGUCACGUCCCAGGAUCUGAAGGUGGUGUUGCACAUACAAAAGGGAAAGUUGGCCAACAUCCUGCACCACCACAGCAGGUCCAUAGUCUAACAACUGACUUUAUAACCCAGGCAGUCCUUAUUUUACCCGUGUGCUGAUUUCCAUUUGUACAACUCUUUUGGCUGUUCUAUGCAAGGCACUGCUCCACUUAACACUAUUACCUUAUCAGGUAGCUAUUCAACAGCACUAAUGCUGCCUGCCUACAUGCAUGUCCUCAAUGCAAGCAUUCUCUUCUGGCGGAUAGCAUAGCUACAGAUUACACAUUCAACUUGAAGUUACCUAAUGGUGUACACUUUUCCCAGUGCCUAUGUAAUGUGUGUGUAUACAAGAUGCUUUAUACAUUAAAUGUUCAAAUAAUGCUUUUGUAUUGUUAAUCACUGUUACCUUAUUCCAGAGAUACAUUUGGAGAGUUUUAAAUUGUUUUAAUUUAUACCUAUACACAAGAAGAAUGAUUAUGGCUGUAUUCAGAUAACCGUUUAUUCAUAAAAUGUAAUAAGCAUGAUCAAAUAAA